CAGGUUUACCUGUGUGACUGCGUACCUUUUGUAUAAUGGGUCAGCGACUUAUAUUCUGUAGCAAGGUUAACCGAAUAGGGGAGCCGGAGGGAAACCGAGUCUUAAUUGGGCGUUAAGUUGCAGGGUAUAGACCCGAAACCCGGUGAUCUAGCCAUGGGCAGGUUGAAGGUUGGGUAACACUAACUGGAGGACCGAACCGACUAAUGUUGAAAAAUUAGCGGAUGACCUGUGGCUGGGGGUGAAAGGCCAAUCAAACCGGGAGAUAGCUGGUUCUCCCCGAAAGCUAUUUAGGUAGCGCCUCGUGAAUUCAUCUCCGGGGGUAGAGCACUGUUUCGGCUAGGGGGCCAUCCCGGCUUACCAACCCGAUGCAAACUGCGAAUACCGGAGAAUGUUAUCACGGGAGACACACGGCGGGUGCUAACGUCCGUCGUGAAGAGGGAAACAACCCAGACCGCCAGCUAAGGUCCCAAAGUCAUGGUUAAGUGGGAAACGAUGUGGGAAGGCCCAGACAGCCAGGAUGUUGGCUUAGAAGCAGCCAUCAUUUAAAGAAAGCGUAAUAGCUCACUGGUCGAGUCGGCCUGCGCGGAAGAUGUAACGGGGCUAAACCAUGCACCGAAGCUGCGGCAGCGACGCUGAUGCGUUGUUGGGUAGGGGAGCGUUCUGUAAGCCUGCGAAGGUGGCCUGUGAGGGUUGCUGGAGGUAUCAGAAGUGCGAAUGCUGACAUAAGUAACGAUAAAGCGGGUGAAAAGCCCGCUCGCCGGAAGACCAAGGGUUCCUGUCCAACGUUAAUCGGGGCAGGGUGAGUCGACCCCUAAGGCGAGGCCGAAAGGCGUAGUCGAUGGGAAACGGGUUAAUAUUCCCGUACUUGGUGUUACUGCGAAGGGGGGACGGAGAAGGCUAUGUUGGCCGGGCGACGGUUGUCCCGGUUUAAGCGUGUAGGUGUGUGUUCCAGGUAAAUCCGGUUCACUUUAACACUGAGGCGUGAUGACGAGGCACUACGGUGCUGAAGCAACAAAUGCCCUGCUUCCAGGAAAAGCCUCUAAGCAUCAGGUAACAUCAAAUCGUACCCCAAACCGACACAGGUGGUCAGGUAGAGAAUACCAAGGCGCUUGAGAGAACUCGGGUGAAGGAACUAGGCAAAAUGGUGCCGUAACUUCGGGAGAAGGCACGCUGACA
RNAcentral lists this ribosomal RNA (1176 nucleotides) under Salmonella enterica subsp. enterica serovar Chester. Its description in RNAcentral is "partial 23S ribosomal RNA". It matches the Rfam family "Bacterial large subunit ribosomal RNA", at positions 580 to 1756 of the family's 2925-position model. Lineage: Bacteria; Pseudomonadati; Pseudomonadota; Gammaproteobacteria; Enterobacterales; Enterobacteriaceae. The record is from RNAcentral.